RNAcentral lists this transfer-messenger RNA (352 nucleotides) under Clostridia bacterium. It matches the Rfam family "transfer-messenger RNA". From Rfam's summary of the family: Bacterial tmRNA, also known as 10Sa RNA or SsrA, is named for its dual tRNA and mRNA-like properties. RNAcentral also lists the same sequence under 1 other name. Lineage: Bacteria; Bacillati; Bacillota; Clostridia. The record is from RNAcentral.
GGGGGUGUACUGGUUUCGACGGGGGAAGCGGUGGCAAAAGAAGCGAGUCGGGAUUGCACUUGCCCGUAAAACGGUGCGCAACAUUUAAACGCAAACGAAAAUAAUUACGCUUUCGCUGCUUAAUUGCAGUUGAACCUCUUACCUUCUGUGCUCGGGGUGAGGGAUAAGGGGUCAUCUUACCGGGCUACUCUUGAGCCAUUGUUUCCUAACUCAAGGGGAAAUUAAGGAGACUGGCCUGAAGGAAUCCUGUCUGUAGGAGUCCGGAGGGUAAGAUAAAAAAUACAGGCUGUACUCGGAGAAGCUUUUGUGGCUGGUCUUCCGGACAAGGGUUCGACUCCCUUCACCUCCACCA